RNAcentral lists this transfer RNA (76 nucleotides) under Anaerolineae bacterium. RNAcentral describes it as "tRNA-Arg". It matches the Rfam family "tRNA". Rfam says of the family: Transfer RNA (tRNA) molecules are approximately 80 nucleotides in length. Their secondary structure includes four short double-helical elements and three loops (D, anti-codon, and T loops). Further hydrogen bonds mediate the characteristic L-shaped molecular structure. tRNAs have two regions of fundamental functional importance: the anti-codon, which is responsible for specific mRNA codon recognition, and the 3' end, to which the tRNAs corresponding amino acid is attached (by aminoacyl-tRNA synthetases). tRNAs cope with the degeneracy of the genetic code in two manners: having more than one tRNA (with a specific anti-codon) for a particular amino acid; and 'wobble' base-pairing, i.e. permitting non-standard base-pairing at the 3rd anti-codon position. The record is from RNAcentral. Lineage: Bacteria; Bacillati; Chloroflexota; Anaerolineae.
GCCCCCGUAGCCCAAUUGGACGGGCGGCAGCCUUCUAAGCCGUGUGAUGCAGGUUCGAGUCCUGUCGGGGGCGCCA